UCUGAGGGGACUGUUGUCUGGCUCGAUGCAUUAAUAAUAAUUAUAAUUAUAUAAUUAUAAUUAUCAUGAAAAAAGGGUAUCGGACCAGGCUUCAUUCCCUUCAGA
This is a microRNA precursor of Citrus x clementina, 105 nucleotides long. It matches the Rfam family "mir-166 microRNA precursor family". Rfam says of the family: This family represents the plant microRNA (miRNA) precursor mir-166. NCBI's taxonomy places the organism in Eukaryota, Viridiplantae, Streptophyta, Magnoliopsida, Sapindales, Rutaceae. The record is from Rfam.